CCUCGCCUCCCCAGUAGUGAUCGCAAGAUGGCAGAGUUGCGAGUGUAAGACCGAAGGGAGAGGAUUUCCCCUUUUUAUCCGGCUGUGCGUCCUUCUAUCUACAGGACCUCCUGAGGGAUGCAAGCAAGGAGAUCCCCCUGAAAGAGCGAGAGACCUGACGUGUGGAGCUGGAGCUUCUUUGAGGGUGUAGCGAGCCAGCAGAGAACCCCAGUUUUGAAAUUCCACCGAAAAGAGAAACGAGAAAAGUCCUCUCGACGACAUCCUCCUCUCUGGAUAUGUGAUAGCAUUGUGUGCGACUGAAAGUGAUAACCGGGCUCAAAUUUGCUUGUUGUUGCUAGUUUUGUUAUUCUAAAAGUAAAUAUUAUUAUUAGUAUUUCUAAUUUACCUACGAAUCAAAAGUGAAUACAAAAAAAGGGAAAUCAUACAGUCGUACUAGCUAUGACUACAUGCCACCCCCCGAGGCGUCAGACGUGGCUGCACUACUCGGCAGGACAGACCUAGUGAAUCGUUGCUAGGCCCCAGGGACAAGUUCUCAAUUGGCCUGUGGCUUAGGUUUGAUGGUGAACAUUGUUGGUGUCCGUACGUUGGUCCCCCCCACUGUGGGCGGCCCCCCCCUUACCGAGACCAAGAUGACGGCACGGGCCAUUCUGCAGUGUCGACCCAAUUCGCACCCCUUCCCACAGGACGUGGAGGAUGGGGAAAGGGAUGCAUUGUACGCCAUGCAAGAGAGAACGUUAGUCCUUGACCAACCGGUGAAGAUUGGACGAUCGGUGGCCCGCAACCGGCCAGCAACCAACAAUGCCAUCUUCGACUGCAAGGUGCUCUCCAGGAACCAUGCCGUGCUCUGGUAUGAGAAUGGGAAGUUCUACCUGCAAGACACAAAGAGCAGCAAUGGCACAUUUGUCAACAACCAGAGGCUUAGCAAAGGUUCUGAGGAGUCUGCCCCAAGAGAAGUCUGCUCGGGGGAUAUUGUACAGUUCGGUGUUGACGUUAUGGAGAACUCUAGGAAGGUGACACAUGGAUGCAUAGUUGCAACCCUGAAACUAUAUAUGCCAGAUGGUCAGGAGGCUAAGGCCAGUCCUUCAACGGCUGUAGGUGGAGCAGUCACCAGUGUCUCAGCACAGGAACUGUACCAAUUACGAACGUAUCUCCAAGAAGCAACUCACCGUGAACAACAGAUUGAGACAAAAUUGGCUACCUUGCAACGAUUGGUGUCUUCUACUCAGGAAGCUGCUACACAGAGUUGGAAUGCCAUGAUUGAUGAAGAUCGGUUACUGCAACGACUAGAAACCUUAGAAGCUCAACUUACCACAUACUCCAAGAAUUACCCUGAAGAUAGUGUUAGGGAAGAAAUGCGACGAUUACUGGACGAGAAGGACCAGUAUGAGACAACUGCCAAAGAAUCAUUACGACGGGUUUUGCAGGAGAAGUUGGACGCAGUCACCAAGUUGGCAGACUUAGAAAGGACAUUAAGUACAUCUGAGGACGAAUUGAGCCACAUGAAAGACUUAUGUGAGACAACGCAAAAGGAGCUUCAGGAACUGUUGGAGAAGCAGACGACCCAAAACGAGCAGAUCGCCCAGCUUACCGAAAAACUAAAGGCAGCUGAAGAUCAGUUGAAGGAUGUGGAAGAGAAUUUUGAACAAGAGAAGAAGGAAUUGGAAAAUAAAUUGCUAGAAAAGAAUAAUGAUGAAAACAAAUUAUUAGCUAGAAUAGAAAGUUUAACAGCGGAAAGUGACUUUACGAAAGAGCAAUUAAGUGCCAUGAAAGCUAAAUAUGAAAAUAUUAAGAAUGGUGAAAUAAGUGGACUUAUUAAGCCUGUAAAGGAUUCCUCAGGUCUAGACAAUAUAAGCAUUGAGUCAACUGAUGUGAAACAAGCUCUCGAGACUUCCCAGAGGGAGAUCUUCACCCUCAAGGACCGACUCCAAAUUGCUCAGGAUGAACUCAGGCAAACGGAAGCAAAUGUAUCGCAGCUCAAACAUGAGGCAGAGCUGGCGGACAGUGCAGAGGUUGGAUGCUUGAGCACGCGUGCUCGCCUCCAGGAGGAGCUCUCGGAAAACAAGGCAAAAAGCGCAGCAAGCACAGCCCUGACUGAACACCUCCAGACCCAGAUUGUUGCCCUGGAAGAUCGCUUGCGGAUGUAUGAGGGAGAGUCACACAAGGUCAAGAUUUAUGAUGAUAUCUACGAAGAUACGUUAGUGAGGAAAAAGAAGAAUAAAAACAAAUUGAAUGAGGAUGAUGGAGACGACACCAAAGACAAGGAGUCCAACGACAUUAGUGAGAUUACGCAGGAUGCUGACACUACCCUCACCAUCAUCCCUACUAAGGAAUCUUGCAAGGAAUCAAAUGUGAAUGGCACAGUUGAGGAGGAAGAAGAGAAAGAAGAGGAAAGCAAGGAAGGAAUCAUCCAAGAAUCACUACUGCGCUCGGACAUCCUCAGACUUCAAGCACUUCUUGAUGCAAGUCGAGUCACACAAGAAGGAAGUGAUAAAGAAGCAGCUCGCAUCAGAGAGGAAUUAGCCCAGGCCUCAACUGCAGCCAUAACUGCAUCCCAUGAGGCAUCCAACCUUCGACAACAGUUGGCAGCAAGUGAGGCUUUGAUGAGUGAGAAAGUGAAGAUGGUAGCAUCACUACAGAACCAAGUAAGUCGUAUGGAGGAUUCAGCUCAGGAGGUUCAGGCUCACCUCUCUACUCUCACAGCAAAGCUAAAAGAAGAACAGGAUAAAGUUCAGGCUGCCCAGGAAGAAGCCCACCUUCUUCGAAAAAAAUUGAACAAAGCCGAAGAGCUAGCCAGUCUUACCGUCCAAGAGGCAGAGUCGCUGAAGGUUCGGAUAAUGGGGCUGGAAGAGAGGAUGAGCCAGUCCACUCCAACAACCCCCCUCAUCAUCCCCCCUUCUCCGCGAGCUUCUGGCCUCCCAAGCGACGUAUCACGAGCCGAAACACUUACGGAAAGCGACGGCCAACAGGGCCCCACUGAGGAACCGGCCGAAGCCACCGAGGUAUUGGAGAGGAGCGACAUCCCUAAUGGCCAUCCCAGUCAGGCUGCUCCUGUUGUUGGAACAGAAACAAAAGAGCAGGAAAUAAACACAUUAAAAGACAUGGUUAAGAAACUGCAGGAGGAGCUUUCCCAGACACAGCAACAGUGCACCACGUUGCAGGAGCGAGAGAAGACACUGCAACAGGCACUGGAGGGAGAGACUGGGAAGAGUGCAGAUGACUCCAGACCUAACCGUGUGGAUGGAGUUGUCACACCUACCCUGAAUGAUGGACCACUAAUAGCAGAGAAACUGGAGAGCCUCCGAGAGGAGUUAGAAUCCCUAAAGGAGGAACGCGAUCAUUUAAGAGACAAGCUUGGGGGGGUGGAUGAGGAUUACCAACUCCUCGCUCUGCAAAAUAAAACGACGAUCCCAACCUGGGUCAUGGUAGUUAUGGUGAUGGCUCUGGCUCUCGGAUCUGAAUUAAUUCCCAACAUUAUAUAAUAAACUUGUAUAAAUGUAUGCAUAUAUAAAGAAGAAAAAGAAUCUGUAUAUAUAUAUAUGACAAUAAGGAAAAAAAAAAAAGAGUUAAAAAAGAUAUGCCCAGUAUCCUUGUAAUAUUAUUGCAGAUAUUGUUUGCAUUGAGUCAUGUUAUAGAUUAUUUAGUAAUGUUGAUGUAAAGAUAUGGGAUAAUCAAUUGUUGAUAUGUUGCACAACGUAUGUGCCAAUUUUUCUUCUGAUAUCUCAAAUUAUGUAUAGUAAAAACUUUGUAUUUAGAUUGUACAGCUCCUGAAUAUGUUGAUAGUCUAUAGGCCUAGUAUACAUUUGAUUGUUAUAUAUUAUUGCAUAAUGACCCUAUAUUGCAUCUAUGCAAUGUAAAUAUGUAAAUACAUUUUAGUUAAUAAGUAAGAAUGCAUAAAGAAAAAAAAAAAAGAGAAAAAAAGACUAGUCUAAAGAAACAACAUCCAAGUUUGAUGUAUAGAAAAACUCCAAUCAUGAGACAAAAGAACGUUAAGUAUGAGCCAGUCCCAGAAGCCCUGUGAUAUUAGCCAUUGUAAAGCCCUGCAGAAAGGUCUUAGAAGGCCCAUGGGAUAAGGCUGCUGCUGCCUCGGCCCCACCACAAAGCAGACCAAAAGGCUGUGGCGCUAUCCAUGGUGCCGCUGUGCAUCUUGAUCUUGGGCUUCAUCACUGCGUUCUAUGACACCCUCUCUGCCUUGACCGGCACGACAGAGUUCAACCCGCCCUCUUAAAGACACUCUUGCAGUCUAUCGAGCACCGUUCUUUGGUUUGUUAUGGACGCUAUGCCAGAACUAUGGAUAGAACCUGUUACUUUAUUGUCCCUGAUGAUGUAUCCCAUAGCCAUUAAAAAAUAAUAAUAAUAAUAAUGAAAACUUCACCCUCUCACUCAAUCAUGGUCACCAUCUAAACCAUUAGUAAAUGCCACAUGGGAUACUGACACCUGUAAUAAACCAGUGAAGAAAAUGUGUAUCCUGAAGGCAUGACUGUUUGUGCAUCCUAAAGGCAAAGUUCUGCUGGAUCUGCUUCCUCAGGGAACUGAGAGUCAAGAGUUUAAUGUUUAAAAUCAUGUGCUAUUGAACGAUUGUACAGCUCAGAUGAUGUACAAUUCCUCCCCCCUUCCCCCAUUAAGAAUAUUUCCCCAAGUAAUCAGAGGUUUUCCUUACAUUUACUCCUCCCCAAAACUAGCAAGAUUUCAAGAUGAAUGGAUAAAUUGAAAGAUUGUGGCCACUUUUACCAGUGACAGGAUGAACAUAAACUGCAACAGUAGUGUGUCAGGUAAACUUUGAUGGACUUUGCUGCCAUCAAAUAAAGCACAAGCUAUAUAUAUAGAACCUGUGGUUCUUUUUCCUUCUUGUAUCUUAAAUGUCUUUGUAUAUGCACACAAAAUUGUACUGUUGGUUGUAGACAUUGGCUUGUAAGUCUUAAAUUCUUCUGCCAGCAUUUUAACUUUUAGAGAAUUGAUGAUCAAGUCUUUCCUUGAUUAGUGUUUUUUUUUUUUUUUUUUUUGUAUACCAGAUUAACCAAAUAAAAAAUAAGGUGUAUAUCAAGUUUCAACAGUACCAUUGCUGAAGAAAGUACUUGUACAUUUUUUCAUUGAAAUGGAUAUAUUGUUUUUAACAGAUUGUUGUAUUAUUUCAGCAAGGAAGCUUAGAAUUUCAUUCUUUCCUUACCAAAUUUGUGAGUAGAAAGCAUUUGGUACCAUUUUGAAAUUGCUUUUCAUGUUAUGGAAUACUUUGACACCCAACUUGGAGUGCAAGAGAUAGUUUUAUAUUCUUUUUUGGGGGUACACUGUCUCUCUUUCUAAGAAUUAAAUGGAAUACUAAACUUAGUUCUCCUUCCUUAUUUGACUUAUUUUGUAAAGACAGUUUUAAAAAUUAUUUAAGAAUGUUUUUUUUCUUUUUAAUAAAUGUGAGGUGUAGCCAAUAUGUUGUUGUACCUGUUAUUUAUCUGUGAUAAGAAGUGGUUAUCAUUAUUGUACCCGUGUAUAAUUUUUUUCCUUAUCAUUUAUAACUAAUCUUCGAAUCUUUAUUGCUUUUUAGCAUAUUGGUUACACCAUUAUGUUUUAUUAAUAAAUCUUUGAAAGGCUAAAGUUUUAACUAAAAGGAAAGUAAUUAUAAACAGGGUAGUUAUUAUACUUCCAGAUUAUCAUGUUGAAGCAAAGGUUGAAAGUGUUGAAACAAGCACAGAGACUGUAGUUUGUGGUGUGCCCAAUGCUAUAAAGUGUGAAGAUAUCCUACCUGUGGCAAAUUUCUCCAAAUACACGUGAAAAAAGAUGCCGAAAAAUUGUGAAGAAUGUCUUUUUUGUGAGUGCGUGCUUCGUCAGGCUCAAAAAAUGACAAUUGUGUCACCAAGAAGGGAAGAAAGAAUGAAUUGUGUAUAUACCGCAGCUGCCAAAUUCCCUGACACAGGUCUGACCUUUUUACAAGGCCCCCCCCUAGUCACCAGUCCGGUGUUUUUAUUCGCCGACCACCCCAGACCUCUGAUGAAAGUCAUGUACAGAAAAAAUCGUCGGAAACCUCAUGUACAUAGGCUGACUACACGUCAACCGAGACCGACUGUGUAUAAAGACUGAGUUGUAUACUGCCAUUAUUCACUAGUACAUGUAGGGAAUUUACUCUUAGAUAUUUAUGUUUGUUUGAUAUGAGAUCAUGUUAACUAUUGUAGUUCUUGUUUCAUUGAUUUUAAAAGGAUGUUAAUUACAUGUUAAGCCUAACAAGCUUUAUACAUGAUUCCCUUUCCUGAGUUUUCUUCAUGCUUUGUACUUCAGUUCUUGAAGUAAAAGUUUCUAUGGUAAACAAAAAAUGUUCUUGAAAUCUGUUAUACAAGUCACAAUUUUGUGUCCCACUUAGCACAUUUUUUGUAGGUGUCAUAUAUAUAUAAAUAUAUAAAUAUAUAUCUAUAUAUAAUAUUCAAUUUUAUAUGAAUCACAUGUACAAACAAAGCCAAGCACACAGAGGCUACCGCAAACUGGCCGAGUUCAUAUAGAAUUGGAAUAUGUUUAGGUAGAACACACUACAUCCAUUAUACUUUCCUAGUGAGGUUGUUUAUGUAAUUUUUUAGUAAAUGUCAUCAUACCCCCUAGUUUUGUGGAUGUUCUCAAAUUGUACUGACCAUUUUUUUGUCCUUUUAGCUUCUAAAGGGAAAAAAGAGCAAGUCACAAACAUGUCUGGAUAUUCAGUUCUUUAUGAAUACUGUCAGUUAUUAGGUACUCUGGCCAGGCACCAAUGCUCAUGAAGUGCUGCGCUUAGGGUGUCAGUCAGUAAACAAAAAUGAAAAAAAGGACAUGUUCUCAAGCUUCCAAAUACAAAUAUUCAGCAUC
Penaeus chinensis is the source of this 6813-nucleotide RNA transcript. It is a transcript of the gene named sarcolemmal membrane-associated protein-like, with no coding region annotated. Lineage: Eukaryota; Metazoa; Arthropoda; Malacostraca; Decapoda; Penaeidae. The record is from RefSeq and is a predicted model, not a curated record. The transcript is spliced from 22 exons.